AGCGUGAAGGGAAGAUAUAUGAGCAAGCAGCUGAGAAAGAUUGGAAGCAUUCGGAUGAUGACCUCUCCUUCCUCUUCAGCUUGAGUGGUGCUGCAGAAUGAACAAUCGUUAUUAUCUCCAUCGCAUAUAUUCAAGGUUUCAGCUCGAUAGCAUCUACCACGGCAGCUUGCCUCUUCUUUGAUGACGCUACAACCUGGAGAGCGGAACUACUCUUCCGCAGGUGCCGAUAUGUGUGGGAGCUCGUGAUUGAGACGGCACAUGCGGGAGCCUGCUUCUCUUGUUUAUCCCGCAACAGCCCUCUUUAGUCUUGUACACCUUUAUGUCUGAAAUUGCCCGUAAGACGUGCUCUCACAAACUAGCAACCCCUCUGGUGAAGAGUAAAGACUUGUACCGAAGCCUUGCAUGGAUAAACUGUGCCUAAUACUUUGUUUCUAUGUCAAUUUUUGUGAUGACAAAGUGUGAUUUCUGCCUUCUGUAGUUGCAAUGCACUAAAUGUAAGAUCUUUUUUUUUCUGUUCCUUUUCUUCUUCGAGACCAAGUGUAAGAUAUCUUUGGUCAGCUAUGGAGAAGAGAAAAGGAACAUUGAUUCUUGAACACGAGAUUUUGUCAGAUUUUUUCAUGGUCCUGAUAAACAAGGAUUUGGCUGGUUC
Long non-coding RNA from Brachypodium distachyon (stiff brome), 649 nucleotides. RefSeq lists it as uncharacterized. The record is from RefSeq and is a predicted model, not a curated record. NCBI's taxonomy places the organism in Eukaryota, Viridiplantae, Streptophyta, Magnoliopsida, Poales, Poaceae. The transcript is spliced from 3 exons.